UCCAGACUCCUACGGGAGGCAGCAGUGGGGGAUAUUGCACAAUGGGGGGAACCCUGAUGCAGCGACGCCGCGUGGGUGAAGAAGCGCCUCGGCGCGUAAAGCCCUGUCAGCAGGGAAGAAAAUGACGGUACCUGAAGAAGAAGCCCCGGCUAACUACGUGCCAGCAGCCGCGGUAAUACGUAGGGAGCGAGCGUUAUCCGGAAUUAUUGGGUGUAAAGGGUGCGUAGACGGGAAAACAAGUUAGUUGUGAAAUCCCUCGGCUUAACUGAGGAACUGCAACUAAAACUAUUUUUCUUGAGUGCAGGAGAGGUAAGUGGAAUUCCUAGUGUAGCGGUGAAAUGCGUAGAUAUUAGGAGGACCACCAGUGGCGAAGGCGACUUACUGGACUGUAACUGACGCUGAGGCUCGAACGCGUGGGGAGCAAACAGGAUUAGAUACCCGAGUAC
This 446-nucleotide ribosomal RNA is filed under the name uncultured bacterium. Its description in RNAcentral is "bacterial SSU rRNA". It matches the Rfam family "Bacterial small subunit ribosomal RNA", at positions 330 to 793 of the family's 1533-position model. The record is from RNAcentral.